This 261-nucleotide ribosomal RNA is filed under the name uncultured archaeon. Its description in RNAcentral is "partial 16S ribosomal RNA". It matches the Rfam family "Archaeal small subunit ribosomal RNA", at positions 748 to 1008 of the family's 1478-position model. The record is from RNAcentral.
CAGCCGUAAACUAUGCGCGUUAGGUGUAUCGGUGACCACGAGUUACCGAGGUGCCGAAGGGAAACCGUGAAACGUGCCGCCUGGGAAGUACGGUCGCAAGGCUGAAACUUAAAGGAAUUGGCGGGGGAGCACCACAACAGGUGGAGCCUGCGGUUUAAUCGGACUCAACGCCGGGAAGCUCACCGGAUAAGACAGCAGAAUGAUUGCCGGGCUGAAGACUCUGCAUGACUAGCUGAGAGGUGGUGCAUGGCGUCAGUGACU